This 589-nucleotide ribosomal RNA is filed under the name Nocardia sp. GR-8491. RNAcentral's name for it is "bacterial SSU rRNA". It matches the Rfam family "Bacterial small subunit ribosomal RNA", at positions 54 to 660 of the family's 1533-position model. Lineage: Bacteria; Bacillati; Actinomycetota; Actinomycetes; Mycobacteriales; Nocardiaceae. The record is from RNAcentral.
CAUGCAAGUCGAGCGGUAAGGCCCUUCGGGGUACACGAGCGGCGAACGGGUGAGUAACACGUGGGUGAUCUGCCUUGCACUCUGGGAUAAGCCUGGGAAACUGGGUCUAAUACCGGAUAUGACCUCCAGUUGCAUGACUGGGGGUGGAAAGAUUUAUCGGUGCAAGAUGAGCCCGCGGCCUAUCAGCUUGUUGGUGGGGUAAUGGCCUACCAAGGCGACGACGGGUAGCCGGCCUGAGAGGGCGACCGGCCACACUGGGACUGAGACACGGCCCAGACUCCUACGGGAGGCAGCAGUGGGGAAUAUUGCACAAUGGGCGGAAGCCUGAUGCAGCGACGCCGCGUGAGGGAUGACGGCCUUCGGGUUGUAAACCUCUUUCGACUCCGACGAAGCGAAAGUGACGGUAGGAGUAUAAGAAGCACCGGCCAACUACGUGCCAGCAGCCGCGGUAAUACGUAGGGUGCGAGCGUUGUCCGGAAUUACUGGGCGUAAAGAGCUUGUAGGCGGCUUGUCGCGUCGAUCGUGAAAACUCGGGGCUCAACCCCGAGCUUGCGGUCGAUACGGGCAGGCUUGAGUACUUCAGGGGAGA